This 305-nucleotide ribosomal RNA is filed under the name uncultured bacterium. Its description in RNAcentral is "bacterial SSU rRNA". It matches the Rfam family "Bacterial small subunit ribosomal RNA", at positions 337 to 659 of the family's 1533-position model. The record is from RNAcentral.
ACCUACGGGGCGCAGCAGUGGGGGAUAUUGCACAAUGGGGGGAACCCUGAUGCAGCGACGCCGCGUGGGCGAUGGAGUACUUCGGUAUGUAAAGCCCUAUCAGCAGGGAAGAAAAUGACGGUACCUGACCAAGAAGCCCCGGCUAACUACGUGCCAGCAGCCGCGGUAAUACGUAGGGGGCAAGCGUUAUCCGGAUUUACUGGGUGUAAAGGGAGCGUAGACGGCAGCGCAAGUCUGGAGUGAAAUGCCGGGGCCCAACCCCGGAACUGCUUUGGAAACUGUGCAGCUCGAGUGCAGGAGAGGUA